RNA transcript from Pezoporus flaviventris, 3270 nucleotides. It is a transcript of the gene named armadillo repeat containing 2, with no coding region annotated. NCBI's taxonomy places the organism in Eukaryota, Metazoa, Chordata, Aves, Psittaciformes, Psittacidae. The record is from RefSeq and is a predicted model, not a curated record. The transcript is spliced from 20 exons.
GCAGGCGCCCUCGCGUCUCCGGACUCCCCGACCCCGACCCUGCAGGUGUGGCUAAGGGGAGCGAGCGGCUCUUACUGGUACCGGCGCCGCGGAAAGGCCGCGGUCUCUCUCGGCGGAGAGGAAUGCAAGCUUCAAAGAAUAAAAAUACAGAAGAGGCAGAACCAUUCUACAAGCUUUCAGUGCCAAAGGAGAAGACUAGUUCUGAGAUUAUAAGUGAAGCCAGAAAUUUUCUACGAACACUGAGAACUCGGAGACCAUUUACACCUACAGAAGAACAAAGGAGACUUUUUGGAUCUGGAUCCUCACGAGCUCCUCAAAAUAGACCCCCUUCAGUUUUUAGUCUUCAUGCAUCCAGUUUUGAUUUGGCUGAAUCAAGACCACUGUCUGGUGUUCGUCUUAGCCCACUGAAACAUAAACCGGUAUUAGUCACUUCUGCAAAAGAUGAAGAUUCUUCCAUUUCCUUUCCAAAAACUCUUGCUGAUGCUGCAGAGAUCAGAAAAGUCAGCAAUGCUCGGGCACACUUAUUUAGAAGAACUUCUUGGGGAAACUUCCUUUUGGCUAAAACGGUGCCUUCUGAUCAGAAGGAAGAGAAGCUAGAUUCUGAACAACCAGCUAUGAUGAAUAAUCUUUGCAGGACUAAUAAUGACUGCUUAGCAGAGCAAAGGUCAAACACACCAUGGAAUGGUGAAAGCAGACAAUUAAUUUGUAAUGAGCAUGUCAGCGGAUUGGAGAGUAGAGACUUCUUAAAAGGGACAGCUGGAAAACUUUUGUUUCAAAUGAGAGGAGAAAGAAGUGUCAGCAGUGAUGGCAAAUUUGCUGAUGAAGAGCAACAGUUUCCCUGUGAGCAGAUGAAAAAGCCAGGCACAAGUCCGUCAUGGCCAAGAAGUACAGGCUGGAAGGGAAGAGAAACAGGCUUACAAGUUGAAAUGGGAAUAAAAGAAUCACAAGAGGAAGAAAUCUUUUGGCAUUUAAAGAUUCUACCAAUUCUUCAUGAACUGGAAAAAGAAGACAAUGUAGAAAAUCUUUGUCUGGCUUGCACCAAGCUCUAUCAAGCCCUGGAUGAAGAAAAUAUGCUUGGAAAAAGAUUUAAAAGAAGAAAUAUGCUUCUGAAGAUAUUAUAUAAACUUGUAGACAUUGAUUCAGACCCACUUUGCCUAAAGCUGGCAAAGAUUAUUCUGUCUAUGAAAGUGGAUGGAAAAAAUCUUCUCAGUGUUUGCAAGCUUGCAUUUAAAAUUUGCAGGAAUGAAGAAAAUGAUUACAUCAUUCAAAAUGAUGGUUUGUUGGAUUGUUUGUUGGAGGUUCUGAGAACUGAAGAUCUACAAAAAAACAAUGAAGCUCUCUUGUAUUGCAUGGGAGCUAUAAAAUUCAUGUCUGGAAAUGCAGUACUCCUUAAUGAAAUGGUGAAAAAAGGAGCUGUUGAAAUGUUGCUGCAAUUAAUGAAGCAGAUUAAUAAUAUAAAAGAAAAUGACAGAUAUUUCUCCAACUUGGGGCACCUAUUAGUACAGCUGACAGCUACCUUGCGAAACUUGGCUGACUUGGCUCCGGCGAGACGCCAGCUCAUUCGCAGUGGUGCAGUCUCUGAGCUCUGUGUGGCGCUAGAGCAGCGCUUGAGGGAUAAGGAUGUGUGCACCUACCUUGUCAGGAUAUUCAGCAAACUUUCUUCCUACAAUGAUUUCUGCACAGCUUUAGCAGACUGCUCCAGAUGUUAUGUCUUAUUUUUAGCCCUACUAAACAAACACCAGAAACAGCAGGAUUUGGUUAUCCGUAUUCUCUUCAUUCUUGGUAAUUUAACAGCAAAGAAUGACCAGCCCCGUGAGCAAUUUUUUCAAGAAAAAGGAAGCAUUAACACCUUGAUAUCAUUAUUCCAAACCUACCAUGAACUUGAUUUGAAUACACAGAAAUGGUACCAAGGAAAAGGAAGGGAAGAAAAAAAACAACCAAAGCAUCCUUCAGAAGCAGAAGAUGUUCUGAUAAAACUGAUAAGAGUGCUGGCCAAUGUCUCUGUUCAUCCCAGCAUAGGAGCAGCUCUGGCAGUUGCCCAUCACGUUGUAGAAUUGCUUGUUACAGUACUAGAAUACAAGUCAGUUGAUGAGUGUGAGGAGUUGGUCAUCAAUGCUGCAAUAACAAUCAACAAUUUAUCCUACUACAAAGUGAAGAGUUCUGCUGUUCAAGACAAAAAGCUACACAUUGCUGAAAUGCUUUUAAGGCUGUUAAUGAGCAACAGUAUGGAUGGAGUUGUGGAGGCUGUCAGAGCAUUUGGCAAUCUUUCCCAGUAUCAUGAGAUCUGUGACUUCAUCAUACAGAAAAAGAUACACAAGUUCAUGAUUGCUUUGCUUGAUGCCAAAAAGCAAGAUGUCUGUUUUUCUGCCUGUGGAGUUCUGCUCAAUCUCACAGUAGAUAAGAACAAACGAGCAUUUCUGAUGGAGGAAGGAGGAAUUGGAAAGUUAGUUGACUGUUUACAAGACUUUGGGCCAUCAGAUUGGCAGCUGGCUUGUUUGAUAUGCAAAACCCUGUGGAACUAUAGUGAAAGCACCACAAGUUCGGCCUCAUGCUUUGGAGAAGAUACUGAGACGUUGCUGGUGCUGCUCACAUCACUCAUAGAUGCAGAACUAGCGCUGGAUUACAGCCUCGAUGGAGAUGUAAGGGACUACCACAAACUGUAUUGGGAAAGAGAGUUCAAGCCUGUGGCAGAAAAACUUCUUGAUAGAAUUCAGAAUCAUCAGUCCUUCCAGCUGUGACUGGCUACUACUCCAUUUUAAUCAGUCAUAUUUUUUUUGGUGCUAUAGAUUGACCAGCUUUACAUUUCUAAUAUACCUGUACUUUGCCAUUGAUCACUAAGAACAAACCACUGAGCAGGGGCUGCUGGGCUCCUGGCUGUGAUCCUGAGGGUCAGCAGCCUCGUGUUGUGCUGUGUGUGUCAGGAGUGCAAGUCUUCCCCUGGCAAUGCCCUCAGAGAGGCUGGAGGAAUUGGUUUGAGGCAGCGAUUUGGAGCUCCCUCAGUGGCACUGCUGUACCUUUGACAUUGCUCUGCUUCCAGGUGAGGAGAUGAAGCAAGGAGGCUGGGAAACACAACUGUGGUAGAAGGGCAGGGAAACUUUCUUUGUAGUUUAGAUCCCUGCUUCUCAGGGACUUCUUUGCUGUUGAUGGGACAGGGGAGGAGAGAUUUCAUGGUCCUGGUUUUGGGAGUGGUGCAGAGGCUCUGUAAGAGCUGCUUGGUAGUCAUCAGGGCUUAUAGCCUGCAGGGGAGGGCAGCCCACACCAGUGGCCAAA